ACGUAGGGUGCAAGCGUUAAUCGGAAUUACUGGGCGUAAAGCGUGCGCAGGCGGUUGUGCAAGACAGGUGUGAAAUCCCCGGGCUUAACCUGGGAACUGCACUUGUGACUGCACGGCUUGAGUGCGGCAGAGGGGGAUGGAAUUCCGCGUGUAGCAGUGAAAUGCGUAGAUAUGCGGAGGAACACCGAUGGCGAAGGCAAUCCCCUGGGCCUGCACUGACGCUCAUGCACGAAAGCGUGGGGAGCAAACAGGAUUAGAUACCCUGGUAGUCCACGCCCUAAACGAUGCUGACUAGUUGUUGGGAAUUUACAUUCUCAGUAACGUAGCUAACGCGUGAAGUCAGCCGCCUGGGGAGUACGGUCGCAAGAUUA
Molecule: ribosomal RNA, 371 nt
Filed under: uncultured bacterium
Lineage: Bacteria
Description: bacterial SSU rRNA
Rfam family: Bacterial small subunit ribosomal RNA
Source: RNAcentral